RNAcentral lists this long non-coding RNA (483 nucleotides) under Helianthus annuus (common sunflower). RNAcentral's name for it is "sRNA HanXRQr2_Chr03g0090351". The record is from RNAcentral. Lineage: Eukaryota; Viridiplantae; Streptophyta; Magnoliopsida; Asterales; Asteraceae.
UAAGCUUUGUUGGGCAUUCUCUGGUGAUUUUCCGGCAACCUCAGAUUGCGUUUGAUGGUUCAGUAUCUACAAAAUAUGAUGGAUCAAUGUGUUAAAUAGGGAGUGCACGCUAGUAGUAUUAAAGAAUUGAAGAUGCCCAGAUGCCCAUGAAAGAAGCACAAUGAAGUUAAUGAUGAGUUCGAUGUUUUUUGGCUGAGAAGAUUAGGAUAUUGACAGCCAUAAACUUUAGAGUAAAUUGUUAGGACCAGAAAGUUGAUGUGUAAAUACUCAAUAACUUGUAUUAGGAUUUUGUAUGUAAAUAAGUGUAAAGUAGGGACUUCAUGUUGUGAAACACAUGCUUUAGCAACAACACCCAAAUUAGACGCUUCUGGCUGUAAACGCACCAAACGUUCAUGAAUUGUUUGUGAACUUGUGCCGUAUGAAGUUCGUUUAUGUUCGUUUAUUUAAUAAAUGAACAAACAUGGACACAAAUUUUUGUUCAUU